RNAcentral lists this ribosomal RNA (797 nucleotides) under Gammaproteobacteria bacterium GUDS1247. RNAcentral describes it as "bacterial SSU rRNA". It matches the Rfam family "Bacterial small subunit ribosomal RNA", at positions 91 to 889 of the family's 1533-position model. Lineage: Bacteria; Pseudomonadati; Pseudomonadota; Gammaproteobacteria. The record is from RNAcentral.
ACGAGUGGCGGACGGGUGAGUAAUGCUUAGGGAUCUGCCCAGAGGUGGGGGACAACAGUUGGAAACGACUGCUAAUACCGCAUGAUGCCUACGGGCCAAAGGGGGCUUCGGCUCUCGCCUUUGGAGGAACCUAAGUGAGAUUAGCUAGUUGGUGAGGUAAUGGCUCACCAAGGCGACGAUCUCUAGCUGGUCUGAGAGGAUGAUCAGCCACACUGGAACUGAGACACGGUCCAGACUCCUACGGGAGGCAGCAGUGGGGAAUAUUGCACAAUGGGGGAAACCCUGAUGCAGCCAUGCCGCGUGUGUGAAGAAGGCCUUCGGGUUGUAAAGCACUUUCAGUAGCGAGGAAAAGUUAUUGGUUAAUACCCAAUAGCCUUGACGUUAACUACAGAAGAAGCACCGGCUAACUCCGUGCCAGCAGCCGCGGUAAUACGGAGGGUGCGAGCGUUAAUCGGAAUUACUGGGCGUAAAGCGCAUGCAGGCGGUCUGUUAAGCCAGAUGUGAAAGCCCGGGGCUCAACCCCGGAAUAGCAUUUGGAACUGGCAGACUAGAGUUUUGUAGAGGGGGGUAGAAUUUCAGGUGUAGCGGUGAAAUGCGUAGAGAUCUGAAGGAAUACCAGUGGCGAAGGCGGCCCCCUGGACAAAAACUGACGCUCAGAUGCGAAAGCGUGGGUAGCAAACAGGAUUAGAUACCCUGGUAGUCCACGCCGUAAACGAUGUCAACUAGUUGCUUGUAGCUUUUACGCUGUGGGUGACGGAGCUAACGCAUUAAGUUGACCGCCUGGGGAGUACGGCCGC